CUACGGAGGAUCCGAGCGUUAUCCGGAUUUAUUGGGUUUAAAGGGAGCGUAGGUGGGAUAUUAAGUCAGCUGUGAAAGUUUGGGGCUCAACCUUAAAAUUGCAGUUGAUACUGGUUUCCUUGAGUACAGUAGAGGUGGGCGGAAUUCGUGGUGUAGCGGUGAAAUGCUUAGAUAUCACGAAGAACUCCGAUUGCGAAGGCAGCUCACUGGACUGCAACUGACACUGAUGCUCGAAAGUGUGGGUAUCAAACAGGAUUAGAUACCCUGGUAGUCCACACAGUAAACGAUGAAUACUCGCUGUUUGCGAUACACGGUAAGCGGCCAAGCGAAAGCGUUAAGUAUUCCACCUGGGGAGUACGCCGGCAACGGUGAAACUCAAAUGAAUUGACGGGG
This 393-nucleotide ribosomal RNA is filed under the name uncultured bacterium. Its description in RNAcentral is "partial 16S ribosomal RNA". It matches the Rfam family "Bacterial small subunit ribosomal RNA", at positions 523 to 918 of the family's 1533-position model. The record is from RNAcentral.